GGGCCCCCCACAAGGGGGGCCUUUGGUAAAAUUAAGGCCCAAAAGCCUUCCCAGGUUUUCCACCCUUUGCCCCUUAAAAAAAGUUUCCCUUGGGGGCCACCGUUAAAAGUGGAAUGGUUGUGGCAACUUCGUUCCGUAAAAUUUGGUUAAGCCCGAAAAAGGCAACCCUUGGUUUAGGUGCAUAAUAAAUGGCCCUUUUAGGUGAUCCCGGGUGACAACCGAGAAGGUGGGGAUCGUCAAAUCAUCAUGCCCCUUAUGACCUGGCUACACACGGUGCUACAAUGGCGAUACAAACGGUUGCCAACUCGCGAGAGGGAGCUAAUCCGAUAAAGUCGUUCUCAGUUCGGAUUGUAGGCUGCAACUCGCCUACAUGAAGCCGGAAUCGCUAGUAAUCGCGGAUCAGCAUGCCGCGGUGAAUACAGUUCCCGAAGCCUUGUACACUCCGCCCGUCACACCACGAGAGUUUGUAACACCCGAAGUCGGUGAGGUAACCUUUUGGAGCCAGCACCUGCAAACU
This 517-nucleotide ribosomal RNA is filed under the name Lysinibacillus sphaericus. RNAcentral describes it as "bacterial SSU rRNA". It matches the Rfam family "Bacterial small subunit ribosomal RNA", at positions 917 to 1462 of the family's 1533-position model. The record is from RNAcentral. Lineage: Bacteria; Bacillati; Bacillota; Bacilli; Caryophanales; Bacillaceae.